GUUUUUGGUGUCAGUGUUUGAGGAAGCAUGCAAUUUUUUACACAUGCUUUUAUUUCCUGGGUAAUCCAUGCUGUAAUCCAUACUGAAGCAAUGUUUGAUCAGGGGGCGCAUAAAAGCCAAGGGAGCGGAGGCGUGUGUGUGUGUGCCAGUAGUGCCGCGUGAGCACUGAGCGACCAGACACCAGUGUGACAUAGAUAAAAUAUUGAAUAAAGAAUGGCAGUGACGCCUGUGAACUGA
Molecule: long non-coding RNA, 237 nt
Organism: Silurus meridionalis
Lineage: Eukaryota; Metazoa; Chordata; Actinopteri; Siluriformes; Siluridae
Exons: 2
Source: RefSeq, a predicted model, not a curated record